This 493-nucleotide ribosomal RNA is filed under the name uncultured bacterium. RNAcentral's name for it is "partial 16S ribosomal RNA". It matches the Rfam family "Bacterial small subunit ribosomal RNA", at positions 30 to 523 of the family's 1533-position model. The record is from RNAcentral.
AUUGAACGCUGGCGGCAUGCUUUACACAUGCAAGUCGAACGGUAACAGGUUAAGCUGACGAGUGGCGAACGGGUGAGUAAUGCAUCGGAACGUGCCCGAUCGUGGGGGAUAACGCAGCGAAAGCUGCGCUAAUACCGCAUACGAUCUGAGGAUGAAAGCAGGGGACCGUAAGGCCUCGCGCGAUCGGAGCGGCCGAUGUCAGAUUAGGUAGUUGGUGGGGUAAAGGCUCACCAAGCCAACGAUCUGUAGCUGGUCUGAGAGGACGACCAGCCACACUGGGACUGAGACACGGCACAGACUCCUACGGGAGGCAGCAGUGGGGAAUUUUGGACAAUGGGCGAAAGCCUGAUCCAGCAAUGCCGCGUGCAGGAAGAAGGCCUUCGGGUUGUAAACUGCUUUUGUACGGAGCGAAAAGGUUCUCUCUAAUACAGAGGGCUCAUGACGGUACCGUAGGAAUAAGCACCGGCUAACUACGUGCCAGCCGCCGCGGUAA